Molecule: ribosomal RNA, 496 nt
Filed under: uncultured bacterium
Lineage: Bacteria
Description: partial 16S ribosomal RNA
Rfam family: Bacterial small subunit ribosomal RNA
Source: RNAcentral
GAUGAACGCUGGCGGCGUGCCUAAUACAUGCAAGUCGAGCGAACAGACGAGGAGCUUGCUCCUCUGACGUUAGCGGCGGACGGGUGAGUAACACGUGGAUAACCUACCUAUAAGACUGGGAUAACUUCGGGAAACCGGAGCUAAUACCGGAUAAUAUAUUGAACCGCAUGGUUCAAUAGUGAAAGACGGUUUUGCUGUCACUUAUAGAUGGAUCCGCGCCGCAUUAGCUAGUUGGUAAGGUAACGGCUUACCAAGGCAACGAUGCGUAGCCGACCUGAGAGGGUGAUCGGCCACACUGGAACUGAGACACGGUCCAGACUCCUACGGGAGGCAGCAGUAGGGAAUCUUCCGCAGUGGGCGAAAGCCUGACGGAGCAACGCCGCGUGAGUGAUGAAGGUCUUCGGAUCGUAAAACUCUGUUUUAGGGAAGAACAAAUGUGUAAGUAACUAUGCACGUCUUGACGGUACCUAAUCAGAAAGCCACGGCUAACUACGUG